AUUGAACGCUGGCGGCAUGCCUUACACAUGCAAGUCGAACGGUAACGGGCCUUCGGGUGCCGACGAGUGGCGAACGGGUGAGUAAUACAUCGGAACGUGCCCGAUCGUGGGGGAUAACGAGGCGAAAGCUUUGCUAAUACCGCAUACGAUCUACGGAUGAAAGCAGGGGACCGCAAGGCCUUGCGCGGACGGAGCGGCCGAUGGCAGAUUAGGGAGUUGGUGGGAUAAAAGCUUACCAAGCCGACGAUCUGUAGAUGGUCUGAGAGGAUGAUCAGCAACACUGGGACUGAGACACGGCCCAGACGCCUACGGGAGGCAGCAGUUGGUAAUUUUGGACAAUGGGCGCAAGCCUGAUCCAGCCAUGCCGCGUGCAGGAUGAAGGCCUUCGGGUUGUAAACUGCUUUUGUACGGAACGAGAAGCCUUCUUCUAAUACAGGAGGGUCAUGACGGUACCGUAAGAAUAAGCACCGGCUAACUACGUGCCAGCAGCCGCCGUAA
Molecule: ribosomal RNA, 498 nt
Filed under: uncultured bacterium
Lineage: Bacteria
Description: partial 16S ribosomal RNA
Rfam family: Bacterial small subunit ribosomal RNA
Source: RNAcentral